This 722-nucleotide ribosomal RNA is filed under the name uncultured Fibrobacteres/Acidobacteria group bacterium. Its description in RNAcentral is "bacterial SSU rRNA". It matches the Rfam family "Bacterial small subunit ribosomal RNA", at positions 58 to 759 of the family's 1533-position model. Lineage: Bacteria; Pseudomonadati. The record is from RNAcentral.
CNAGUCGAACGCGAAAGUCCCGCAAGGGAUGAGUAGAGUGGCAAACGGGUGAGUAACACGUGGGUGACCUGCCUUCGAGCGGGGGAUAACGUCCCGAAAGGGACGCUAAUACCGCAUGACAUCCUGCCUUUGAACAGGUGGUGAUCAAAGCUGGGGAUCGCAAGACCUAGCACUUGAAGAGGGGCCCGCGCCUGAUUAGCUAGUUGGUGAGGUAAUGGCUCACCAAGGCAACGAUCAGUAUCCGGCCUGAGAGGGCGGACGGACACACUGGGACUGAGACACGGCCCAGACUCCUACGGGAGGCAGCAGUGGGGAAUUGUUCGCAAUGGGCGCAAGCCUGACGACGCAACGCCGCGUGGAGGAUGAAGACCUUCGGGUCGUAAACUCCUUUCGAUCGAGACGAAUGGCCUCCGGGUGAACAGUCCGGAGGAGUGACGGUACCGAGAGAAGAAGCCCCGGCUAACUCCGUGCCAGCAGCCGUGGUAAUACGGGGGGGGCAAGCGUUGUUCGGAAUUACUGGGCGUAAAGGGCUCGUAGGCGGCCAACUAAGUCAGACGUGAAAUCCCUCGGCUUAACCGGGGAACUGCAUCUGAUACUGGAUGGCUUGAGAUCGGGAGAGGGAUGCGGAAUUCCAGGUGUAGCGGUGAAAUGCGUAGAUAUCUGGAGGAACACCGGUGGCGAAGGNNGCAUCCUGGACCGACACUGACGCUGAGGAGCGAAAG